UCUCAGAAUCUUCGACAUCAA
This 21-nucleotide small nuclear RNA is filed under the name Arabidopsis thaliana (thale cress). RNAcentral's name for it is "snRNA_01307". Lineage: Eukaryota; Viridiplantae; Streptophyta; Magnoliopsida; Brassicales; Brassicaceae. The record is from RNAcentral.